This 480-nucleotide ribosomal RNA is filed under the name uncultured bacterium. Its description in RNAcentral is "bacterial SSU rRNA". It matches the Rfam family "Bacterial small subunit ribosomal RNA", at positions 17 to 518 of the family's 1533-position model. The record is from RNAcentral.
UUCUGGCUCAGGACGAACGCUGGCGGCGUGCUUCAUACAUGCAAGUCGAACGAGAAUCUGGCUUCGGUCAGAGGAAAGUGGCGGACGGGUGAGUAAUGUGUAGAGAAUCUGCCCUUUAGUGGGGGACAACAGUUGGAAACGACUGCUAAUACCCCAUAUGCGCGUAGCUGAGAUGCUAUUCGUGAAAACUCCGGUGCUAAAGGAUGAGUCUGCAUCUGAUUAGCUAGUUGGCGGUGUAAUGGACCACCAAGGCGACGAUCAGUAGCUGGUUUGAGAGGAUGAUCAGCCACAAUGGGACUGAGACACGGCCCAUACUCCUACGGGAGGCAGCAGUAGGGAAUUUUGCGCAAUGGGGGAAACCCUGACGCAGCAACGCCGCGUGAUUGAAUAAGCCCUUCGGGGUGUAAAGAUCUGUCAGUAGGGACGAAACUUGACGGUACCUACAGAGGAAGCAUCGGCUAACUCCGUGCCAGCCGCGGC